RNAcentral lists this ribosomal RNA (346 nucleotides) under uncultured bacterium. RNAcentral's name for it is "partial 16S ribosomal RNA". It matches the Rfam family "Bacterial small subunit ribosomal RNA", at positions 338 to 698 of the family's 1533-position model. The record is from RNAcentral.
CCUACGGGUGGCAGCAGUGGGGAAUAUUGGGCAAUGGGCGCAAGCCUGACCCAGCAACGCCGCGUGAAGGAAGAAGGCUCUCGGGGUGUAAACUUCUUUUCGCAGGGACGUAAAAAGUGACGGUACCUGAGGGAUAAGCCACGGCUAACUACGUGCCAGCAGCAGCGGUAAUACGUAGGUGGCAGGCGUUAUCCGGAUUUAUUGGGUGUAAAGGGCGUGUAGGUGGGAGCGUAAGGUAGAUGUGAAAACUCCGGGCUGAAACCUGAGCCUGGAUUUGAAACUGUGUUGCUUGAGUGCUGGAGCGGUAGUCGGAAUGUCGUGUGUAGCGGUGAAAUGCAUAGAGAUA